UUAAGGGCUGGUCGAAUGGUUGCGCUCCUUUUGAAAUUGUUGAGCUUGAGUCUUAGGGUCAACAGGCCGGGCCUAUAGUUCUAAUGAUUUUGUAGAUAUAGAAAGAGUCAGUCUCAGCUUUAUAUUAUUUUCUGAAAUAUAUAUAACUUUAGGCUUUGUGAAUUAAGGAGGACUCAUAUGAUUCUCCUUCUUCAACUUCGGUUCUGUCUCCUUUUUUUUAAUAACCCAGUAACUUGCUUGAUCAGGUCUUCCUUUUAUGUGAAUCCGUAAAAUAGGGGGAGACCCUUAUAUAAUAUGAUCGUUAAACACAUAACCCAUGGGUCCCCCGAAUAUCCAUCAUCAGCCAACCCCUUUUCCUGGCUUUUGUUUCACGAGCAGUAAGCUUUGCUCCCUCCACUUCCAUUAAUUCCGGAUUCUUAUAUUUGAUGACUAUCCAAAGUUUCAUGAGUGCUCCUAUUCUGUUAUUUAUGACUUCUCGUUUGACAUUUUAGGUGAGUCCGCUUGGGCCUGUGUCAAGCCUGAAGCCUUUGUUUAUUCAGGUGUCUAUGUUGAUUUGUUGGGAAGUAAAUUGUGGCUUUGAACAACCUUCUUCCAUAUAUGCUACACUGGAAAAAAAGAUUCGUUGUUAGUUCUUGAAAAGCGGAAAGGUAUCCUUUUUAAAGAUAACUCGGGUUUAUUAGGUUGGUAGGACUAGGAUCCGUUGUUUCAUAUGAGACCCCCUUUCAAGCGGGUGAAGCAGCCCUUGCUUUACAAUCUCUUGCAUACCUGGAAGAUUCAAAAUCUUAAGGCCAUUACUUCCACGAUAUAGCCCCCUCCAACUACAAAUGGGACUUAGAUUGAAAGUUUUCACACCAGCCCACCCCGGGUGAAAGCCCUAUUUUCCAUAAGGAGAUCUAAGAAGUUUUUCCAUGCAUCUUUUUGGCUCUUCAUGGAAGAUUGUUGGUAAGCCUACCAUAAGACUGAAAAUAAAGUCCCAGGCGCACCUGAUGAGUUCUAACUAACCACCCCUAUAAACUUGGUUUGCUAGAAUAGACUCUUAGAUGGAAAAAAAUGCCCAUUUCAGUCUAUUGGGACCUAGAGACGAUACAAUCUUGACUUUUUUCCCUAAGCUUGAAUGUGGCAAAAAUCAAGGGACUGCAGGGGGAAGGGAAUCAGGCACCCAUUCUGAGGGAAUAGUUUGUUGCAAGACUAAGGGCUUUGCAAGAAUAAGAAUAAGGGCUUAGAGAUAAGGUUUUAUUAAAAUCCAUAAUGUCCGAGAAAGUGAAUGCGGCAUUAAAAGGCAAUGCCCAAUUGAAUCAAUAGAUGCGAUGCGGGAAGGAAAGGAUCAAUAACAAAAGCAGGAAGAGAUACCAUGGAUGAGAGAUCAUAAACCGAAGACUUGUUCAGAGUAUAUUAAAGGAUUUGCUGCUUUCUUAGUUUUAAAAUGUUAUAUAAAACUAAAAAUCUAUCCCACUUUUUUAACUCUGGUUUGCUCUUCAUCUUGCUUAAGAAAGGAUCUUAAGUCGAUUAGGUUGCCAGUCGGCAGACCCUCUUUCGGUACCAUAGUAGCUGGCUCAUUGGUCCCACUGAUUCUCAAUGCUACUUUCUCUGAAAAGAUGAAAAGAUCCCUAGGGAGUUGAACUGCUACUACCCACCUAGGGGUGGAUUCCUUCCAAUUUGAUUGAAUAAGACCAAACUCUCAAACCAAUACCAAUCUCUGCCAUGUCUUACCAAACUACACGAUCUCAAUCCUCAUCGCUUUCAGUUUUGAUGGCAGACAGUUUAUAUGCAGUCGUUUUGGAGUUCCUUCCUAGUGUAGCAGUAGUUCAUAGUGCCAUUCCUUUGGUCCCAGUAACCAUUACAGGAAGUGUUCGGAGUGCUUAUGACUAUUUCUUUCCCCUUCCAGGUGUUGUAAAACAACAAAGUUCAAGGGGGCCCCAUCUAGAGCAGUUUCUUAUGGGUAGACUGUACCAUUUUCAAGCCUAAUUGGAGUUUAAGUUGCCAACCAACUAGUGGAAGUUCUUCUUUUUGCCAGGCUAGUAGCCUUCUUUGGUAAGCCAGUUGAAGAAAAAACUGUUGCGUUAAGAGUAAGAAUUUGUCG
This 2080-nucleotide long non-coding RNA is filed under the name Ricinus communis (castor bean). RNAcentral's name for it is "long non-coding RNA (RCOM_LNC003150)". The record is from RNAcentral. Lineage: Eukaryota; Viridiplantae; Streptophyta; Magnoliopsida; Malpighiales; Euphorbiaceae.